Molecule: ribosomal RNA, 978 nt
Filed under: Triticum aestivum (bread wheat)
Lineage: Eukaryota; Viridiplantae; Streptophyta; Magnoliopsida; Poales; Poaceae
Description: partial small subunit ribosomal RNA
Source: RNAcentral
AUGCCGGCGGUGAGGAGGAGGGAGAGGGACGCGGAGGCGGAGCUCAACCUGCCGCCGGGCUUCCGCUUCCACCCCACCGACGACGAGCUCGUGGAGCACUACCUGUGCCGCAAGGCGGCCGGCCAGCGCCUGCCCGUGCCCAUCAUCGCCGAGGUCGACCUCUACCGCUUCGACCCGUGGGCGCUCCCCGACCGCGCCCUCUUCGGCACCCGCGAGUGGUACUUCUUCACCCCGCGCGACCGCAAGUACCCCAACGGCUCCCGCCCCAACCGCGCCGCCGGCAACGGAUACUGGAAGGCCACCGGCGCCGACAAGCCCGUCGCGCCCCGCGGUGGGAGGACCAUGGGGAUCAAGAAGGCCCUGGUGUUUUACGCCGGCAAGGCGCCCAAGGGGGUUAAGACCGACUGGAUCAUGCAUGAGUACCGCCUCGCCGACGCCGGCCGCGCCGCCGCCAGCAAGAAGGGCUCGCUCAGGCUGGACGACUGGGUGCUCUGCCGGCUCUACAACAAGAAGAACGAGUGGGAGAAGAUGCAGCUCCAGCAGCAGGGGGGAGAGGAGAUGAUGGUGGAGCCCAAGGAGGAGCACGCCGCGUCGGACAUGGUGGUCACCUCGCACUCCCACUCGCAGUCCCAGUCGCACUCGCACUCCUGGGGCGAGGCGCGCACGCCCGAGUCGGAGAUCGUCGACAACGACCCGUCGCUGUUCCAGCAGGCGGCGGCGUUCCAGGCCCAGAGCCCCGCCGCCGCGGCGGCGCACCAGGAGAUGAUGGCCACGCUGAUGGUGCCCAAGAAGGAGGCGGCGGACGAGGCCGGCAGGAACGACCUGUUCGUGGACCUCAGCUACGACGACAUCCAGAGCAUGUACAACGGCCUCGACAUGAUGCCGCCAGGGGACGAUCUGCUCUACUCGUCCCUCUUCGCCUCCCCAAGGGUCCGGGGGAGCCAGCCCGGCGCCGGCGGCAUGCCGGCCCCGUUCUAA